RNAcentral lists this ribosomal RNA (253 nucleotides) under uncultured bacterium. RNAcentral's name for it is "partial 16S ribosomal RNA". It matches the Rfam family "Bacterial small subunit ribosomal RNA", at positions 524 to 776 of the family's 1533-position model. The record is from RNAcentral.
GACGGAAGGUGCAAGCGUUGCUCGGAAUCACUGGGCGUAAAGGGCGCGUAGGCGGUCUCGCAAGUCUGGCGUGAAAGCCCAAGGCUCAGCCUUGGAAGUGCGCUCGAAACGGCGAGGCUGGAGUGCCGGAGGGGAGAGUGGAAUUCCCGGUGUAGUGGUGAAAUGCGUAGAUAUCGGGAGGAACACCAGUGGCGAAGGCGGCUUUCUGGUCUGCUCUUGACGCUGAGGCGCGAAAGCUAGGGUAGCAAACGGG